This 301-nucleotide ribosomal RNA is filed under the name uncultured bacterium. RNAcentral describes it as "partial 16S ribosomal RNA". It matches the Rfam family "Bacterial small subunit ribosomal RNA", at positions 509 to 807 of the family's 1533-position model. The record is from RNAcentral.
CAGUCGCCGCGGUAAUACGAAGGGUGCAAGCGUUAAUCGGAAUUACUGGGCGUAAAGCGUGCGUAGGCGGUUUGUUAAGUCUGUUGUGAAAGCCCUGGGCUCAACCUGGGAAUGGCAAUGGAUACUGGCAAGCUAGAGUGUGUCAGAGGAUGGUGGAAUUCCCGGUGUAGCGGUGAAAUGCGUAGAGAUCGGGAGGAACAUCAGUGGCGAAGGCGGCCAUCUGGGACAACACUGACGCUGAGGCACGAAAGCGUGGGGAGCAAACAGGAUUAGAUACCCCGGUAGUCCCUGUCUCUUAUAC